UCUCCCCCCCUUUUUGAAAGUAUCGAAAAGUUUCUAUCAAAAAUAAGAUCUAUCCUCUUUUUGAAUUCAAUCUUUUUUGAGCAAUAUAGACAUGAUAACAUUUCUUUUUUUUUGAACAAUAUAGAUUCAAAAAUACUUCUCCCCCUUUUGAAUAAUAUAGAUGCAUCAAAUAAAUUCAUAAAUUUAGUUAGAAAAUUACUUUGAGCUUUCAAGAUCUAAAAGGGAUAAAGCUUUUCAAAACUAUAUUUAGAUCAUUC
RNAcentral lists this long non-coding RNA (257 nucleotides) under Elaeis guineensis (African oil palm). RNAcentral's name for it is "long non-coding RNA (EGUI_LNC041978)". The record is from RNAcentral. Lineage: Eukaryota; Viridiplantae; Streptophyta; Magnoliopsida; Arecales; Arecaceae.